Molecule: ribosomal RNA, 500 nt
Filed under: uncultured bacterium
Lineage: Bacteria
Description: partial 16S ribosomal RNA
Rfam family: Bacterial small subunit ribosomal RNA
Source: RNAcentral
AUUGAACGCUGGCGGCAGGCCUAACACAUGCAAGUCGAGCGGAUGAGAGGAGCUUGCUCCUUGAUUCAGCGGCGGACGGGUGAGUAAUGCCUAGGAAUCUGCCUGGUAGUGGGGGACAACGUUUCGAAAGGAACGCUAAUACCGCAUACGUCCUACGGGAGAAAGCAGGGGACCUUCGGGCCUUGCGCUAUCAGAUGAGCCUAGGUCGGAUUAGCUAGUAGGUGGGGUAAUGGCCCACCUAGGCGACGAUCCGUAACUGGUCUGAGAGGAUGAUCAGUCACACUGGAACUGAGACACGGUCCAGACUCCUACGGGAGGCAGCAGUGGGGAAUAUUGGACAAUGGGCGAAAGCCUGGUCCAGCCAUGCCGCGUGUGUGAAGAAGGUCUUCGGAUUGUAAAGCACUUUAAGUUGGGAGGAAGGGCAGUUAGUUAAUACCUGACUGUUUUGACGUUACCAACAGAAUAAGCACCGGCUACCUUCGUGCCAGCAGCCGCCGUAA